This 2005-nucleotide long non-coding RNA is filed under the name Salmo salar (Atlantic salmon). RNAcentral describes it as "lncRNA (ENSSSAG00000116853.1)". The record is from RNAcentral. Lineage: Eukaryota; Metazoa; Chordata; Actinopteri; Salmoniformes; Salmonidae.
GCUUAAGAGGCUGUGAAUGUUGCUGAAUGGGAGUAGACAAAGAAGAGCUCUUCACUAGAUACCAAAACAUUCAAAGGCCAUUUUCUCAAAAGUGAGUUUACAAGUAUCAACUUUCAAAGUAGAAUCACUUUCCCAUUGUUCCUCAAAAAUGCAGUGUAUGAUAUACCAUUUCCAUUUUUCUGUUCCAAGUCAAGUUCCAGGGUCAUCCCCUCUUCCCCCUCCUGCUCCACCUCAUCCUGAGACUGCCCGUCACACUGCCUGCCCGGAAUGCUCAUGCUGUUUCCUCUAUCCCCCCCAUGGACAGGAAACCGCUGAAGCUGGAGCCCACGGACUGACGGACAAACAGAUGUAUACACACAGGGGGCAGGAAUUGAUCUCACUGCACCUGCAACCAGGAAGCUGGCCAGUAGAGACAGACAGACACGGGUCCCUGAAACUCCCCUACCCCCCCGUAGCUCCCCCGUCACUCCUCCCCUCCACCCCUCUGACACCCCCAUGUCUACUCUGACUCCCUCACCAGCUGUGGGCACUGGGCCCAUAACACAGGAAACAGAAGAGACCAGCUCUGCCUCUCUCUCCUUUCAGAUAUCCCACUUCAUUCUCUCUUUAUCUGGCCUACAGUAUCAUCUGUAUCAUCAGAUGGAUACAAUGGAAUUGAACAGUCCUUGGCAAGCCCAUACCCAUUGGGCACACUCUGGUUGACAGAUCAAUGCUGUUUUCACCUUAUUUCAAUACAAAAAUGUCCUUGAACUGGCAUCUGUGCCAAGCAGACCUGGAUAUGUGAUACAGGUUUAUGUGAUACAGGUUUGAGUGCCCCCUCUCUGCCCUCUCAGUCAGGGUUAUUUAUUCUUUAAUUCGAUUUAAGUACCUUCUGUAAAUAUGAUAAUAUGCAAUGUGUGAUUGAAUUGAGCCCUACAGUAAGUGUAUGGGAAACUCACAUGGCAUCGUUCCUCAUGUGUCUGGAUGAUUUUCUGCACUCAAUGGGAGCGUGCGGAGUGCAGUGUGUGUAUUUGAAUAGUAUGCUGAGUGAAUAUGAAUUAGCCCCAUUGGCAUGGACUACUGUACUGCAAUGGUUAAACCACAGUGAGACUGUACAAAAAUCUAGUCCAGGGAUAUACUACAGCAGCAGCAGCCCACUGACACACAUUCUCCAGAUGGAAAAAUAGAGAUUAAGGGCUUUAUUCAAUCAUAUCCAGUUUAGCUGACAUCUGCAUAGCGGUUGCUUUGGUGGUGUCGGAGGUGGAGCUGCUUUAGAGCUGUCAAAUCCACAAGUGGCUCCUAGCAUUAUACCUAAAGCGGACAUUAACAGUCACAUUAACAAAAAUCUCACCCAGCUUUGUUUACAGGUUUGAACAGUGGAAUGUGAUAUGUAAUCUACACCUCAAUUAGGCUGAUAGAAAUCCUCAUGAUUUAGUUGAAUGUUUUAUUUCUUUACAUUUGAGCGUAUUUAUUUCUAUACAGCCUACAAUUUCUCAUUCUGAACUUCUAAGGCACUCUACUUUGCUUCGAGUCAAUGAUCGCAAGAGCAGCUGCUCACUGAUUUGACAGCUCCAACACAGUUCCACCUCCAACACCACCUAACCCUCCACUAUGUGGUUGUCGGCUAUCGCCAGUCAACGCUUGAUCUGAUUGAAUCUAGGCCUUACUCUGUCUCUCACUGAUCUCUGCUUCCUAUGUUCUCUCUCAAAAUUGUGUAUGUGUGUGGCACAUGUUUGUGUGUGAGUGAAAAUACUCCCUUGCUAAUGAUAUCUAUUUUAGGGGCAUUUUCCCGUAUUGUGGUUGAGUGUUUGUGAGGGAGGAGUGUUUCAGUGAAUUACUUUCUGUGUCCUGUAAACACAUUUGUUUUCAUAAGAUUUGCCUUAUGCCACUAAUGUAAUAAAAUCAAUAUGUUUGCUCCUUGACAUGAUGCAAACUCGUUGGUAAUGGAUCUCUGAGUGUUUAGUGCUUGUUUUAGACUUGGACUAUCAUGAUGAGAAAGGUUUGGUAUCAGUACGGACAUUGUAGG